Molecule: ribosomal RNA, 372 nt
Filed under: uncultured organism
Description: partial 16S ribosomal RNA
Rfam family: Bacterial small subunit ribosomal RNA
Source: RNAcentral
GAACCGUCCAAACGUUAUUCGGAAUCACUGGGCUUAAAGGGUGCGUAGGCGGCCCGGAAAGUUGGGUGUGAAAUCCCUCGGCUCAACCGAGGAAUGGCGCCCAAAACUGCCGGGCUAGAGGGAGACAGAGGCGAGCGGAACUUGCGGUGGAGCGGUGAUAUGCGUUGAUAUCGCAAGGAACACCAGUAGCGAAGGCGGCUCGCUGGGUCUCUUCUGACGCUCAGGCACGAAAGCCAGGGGAGCGAACGGGGGAUUAGAUACCCCGGUAGUCCUGGCUGUAGACGAUGAGCACUGGGCAGGAGGCUCUUCCAUAGGCUUCCUGCCGCAGCGAAAGUGUUAAGUGCUCCGCCUGGGAGUAUGGUCGCAAGGCUG